Molecule: ribosomal RNA, 467 nt
Filed under: uncultured bacterium
Lineage: Bacteria
Description: partial 16S ribosomal RNA
Rfam family: Bacterial small subunit ribosomal RNA
Source: RNAcentral
GACGAACGCUGGCGGCGUGCUUAACACAUGCAAGUCGAACGGAAAGGCCCUGCUUUUGUGGGGUGCUCGAGUGGCGAACGGGUGAGUAACACGUGAGUAACCUGCCCUUGACGUUGGGAUAACUUCAGGAAACUGGGGCUAAUACCGGAUAGGAGCUCCUGCUGCAUGGGGGGGGUUGGAAAGUUUCGGCGGUUGGGGAUGGACUCGCGGCUUAUCAGCUUGUUGGUGGGGUAGUGGCUUACCAAGGCUUUGACGGGUAGCCGGCCUGAGAGGGUGACCGGCCACCUUGGGACUGAGAUACGGCCCGGACUCCUGCGGGAGGCAGCAGUGGGGACUGUUGCACAAUGGGCGGACGCCUGAUGCAGCAACGCCGCGUGCGGGAUGACGGCCUUCGGGUUGUAAACCGCUUUCGCCUGUGACGAAGCGUGGGUGACGGUAAUGGGUAAAGAAGCACCGGCUAACUACGU